UCGUCUCAAAGAUUAAGCCAUGCAUGUCUAAGAAUAAAUAAAUAAAUAGUAAGUCUGCGGACGGCUCAUUAAAUCAGUUAAAAUCUACAAAGCAAUUUUAUUAUGGAUAACUGUAGUAAUUCUAGAGCUAAUACAAUCAAAAAAACGGUUCGUUGAAUCGUCAUAAAAGAGGAAAUUCCUUCAAUUAAAGUGAACUACUCUUUACUGUGGAAUCGCCAAUGUUGGUGAUAUGUUUUAUGAUUUUCUGCCCUAUCAACUUUUGACGGUAGUGUCGUGGACUACCGUGGUUUCGACGGGUAACGGGGGAUAAGGGUUCGAUUCCGGAGAGGGGGCCUGAGAAAUGGCCACCACUUCUAAGGAAGGCAGCAGGCGCGCAAAUUACCCAAUCUCAAUUCGAGGAGGUAGUGACAAGAAAUAGUAAUGCCUUGAUUCAUAAGAAUCUGGCAAUUGCAAUGAACUAAUUAUUAAUUCAUUAAUGAGGAACAAUUGGAGGGCAAGUCUGGUGCCAGCAGCCGCGGUAAUUCCAGCUCCAAUAGCGUAUAUUAAAUUUGCUGCAGUUAAAAAGCUCGUAGUCCAUGUCGGAAGACAGGUCCUGUUUUUAAUUAUUCAAUAAUUAAGAGCGGUUUGACCGUCUUCAUUUUACAGAUAUCGGGCGGAGGCUAUUAAGUUAGCGCUGUCUGUUAGUCAAGUAACUACUUUGAGGAAAUUAGAGUGUUUCAAGCAUGCAAUUUUGCAUGAAUAUAUUAGCAUAGGAUAGUGACUAUAUUAUAUUUCAUCCGAAGGAGGUGGAAUAUAUUAUUUUAAUAGGGAUAGUCGGGGAUGUUUAUAUUUAAUAGUCAGAGGUGAAAUUCUUAGAUUUGUUAAGGAUAAUCAAAUGCGAAGGCAUUCAUCAAGUAUGUUUUCAUUGAUCAAGAACGAUAGUUAAGGGAUCGAAGACGAUCAGAUACCGUCGUAGUCUUAACCGUAAAGUAUGCCGACCAGGAAUUAGGAGAUGUUAAUAUGGAUGACUCCCCUAGCGCCUUAAGAGAAAUCUAAAGUCUUUGGGUUCUGGGGGGAGUAUGGUCGCAAGGCUGAAACUUAAAGGAAUUGACGGAAGGGCACACCAGAAGUGGAGCCUGCGGCUUAAUUUGACUCAACACGGGAAAUCUCACCAGGUCCGGACAUUAGCAUGAUUGACAGAUUAAAGAUCUUUCAAGAUUUGAUGGGUGGUGGUGCAUGGCCGUUCUUAGUUGGUGGAUUGAUUUGUCUGCUUUAUUGCGAUAACGAACGAGACCUCACUCUACUAACUAGUCAUCCGUGCAUAUGUGUGGUUGAAGUAUUAAAUAGAGAACGCCGAUUUAUCGGAAGUUGCUUUUAAUAUGGAAGCUUGUAUGAUGCGGCUGUACUUCUUAGAGAAACCAAUAUUCACAAAAAUAGAGGAAGCGAGGCAAUAACAGGUCUGUGAUGCCCUUAGAUGUUCUGGGCCGCACGCGCGCUACAAUAUAUUGUGUAAAGUGUCGCUACCGCAAGGGGCCGCUUUACAGGAAUGUGAGGCUAACCUCCAUUCCGUCUUUUUAACUGGAAUAGAUGAUUGAAAUUAUUUGUCUUGAACGAGGAAUUUCUAGUAGUCGUAGUUCACUAAACUACGUCGAUUACGUCCCUGCCCUUUGUACACACCGCCCGUCGCUUCUACCGAUUGAAUGCUCCGGUGAAAUCGUCAGAUUUGUUUUGGUCAGUGGGGCAACCCAGCGGCUUUGAUAGAAAAGGCGAGUAAACCAUAGUAUUUAGAGGAAGAAGAAGUCGUAACAAGG
RNAcentral lists this ribosomal RNA (1790 nucleotides) under Protostelium mycophagum. RNAcentral's name for it is "SSU rRNA". It matches the Rfam family "Eukaryotic small subunit ribosomal RNA". The record is from RNAcentral. Lineage: Eukaryota; Evosea; Variosea; Protosteliida; Protosteliaceae.